UAGGCAACCAAUUUCCUAGGAGCCUUUCCUGAGCAGGGCCUUCUUCUCUUCUCAAAUGAAAGGCACAUGAAGGUGGUAUCCUCCGACAUCAACUUUACAUGUGGUUCCUUUGGACAAAAUAUGGUGAGGAAGACUCAGGUAUUCACUAAGUUCAUGCAGUUCAGAAGUGUCAUCGUUGGGAAUCUAAAUUCAGG
Molecule: long non-coding RNA, 194 nt
Organism: Fukomys damarensis (Damara mole-rat)
Lineage: Eukaryota; Metazoa; Chordata; Mammalia; Rodentia; Bathyergidae
Exons: 3
Source: RefSeq, a predicted model, not a curated record